This 490-nucleotide ribosomal RNA is filed under the name uncultured bacterium. RNAcentral's name for it is "partial 16S ribosomal RNA". It matches the Rfam family "Bacterial small subunit ribosomal RNA", at positions 29 to 507 of the family's 1533-position model. The record is from RNAcentral.
AGUGAACGCUGGCGGCAGGCCUAAUACAUGCAAGUCGAACGGCAGCACAGCAGAGCUUGCUCUGUGGGUGGCGAGUGGCGGACGGGUGAGGAAUACAUGGGAAUCUGCCCAGUCGUGGGGGAUAACGUAUGGAAACGUACGCUAAUACCGCAUGCGCCCUUUGGGGGAAAGCCGGGGACCUUCGGGCCUGGCGCGAUUGGAUGAGCCCAUGUUCGAUUAGCUAGUUGGCGGGGUAAAGGCCCACCAAGGCGACGAUCGAUAGCUGGUCUGAGAGGAUGAUCAGCCACACUGGGAGUGAGACACGGCCCAGACUCCUACGGGAGGCAGCAGUAGGGAAUAUUGGACAAUGGGCGCAAGCCUGAUCCAGCCAUGCCGCGUGAGUGAAGAAGGCCCUCGGGUUGUAAAGCUCUUUUGUCCGGAAAGAAAAGCAUUCGGUUAAUACCCGGGUGUUCUGACGGUACCGGAAGAAUAAGCACCGGCUAACUUCGUG